This 1705-nucleotide long non-coding RNA is filed under the name Calidris pugnax (ruff). Its description in RNAcentral is "lncRNA (ENSCPUG00000001025.1)". Lineage: Eukaryota; Metazoa; Chordata; Aves; Charadriiformes; Scolopacidae. The record is from RNAcentral.
GGAAGAAGAGGAGGAAGAAGAGGAGAAGAGGAAGAAACCAUCAUCCAAAAAUGGGGUGAAAACGGGCAAAAAGAUGAGUGAGAGCGAGAAAAAACAGCCUGUGAGAAAUGGGGCGAAAAGGGUAAAAAUAGAGAGUGACGAAGAGGAAGAGGAAAACGAGGAGGAAGAAGAUGAUGAUGAGGAAGAGGAGGAGGAAGAGGAGAAGAGGAAGAAGCCACCCUCCAAAAAUGGGGUGAAAACGGGCAAAAAGAGGAGUGAGAAAAACCAGGCUGUGAGAAAUGGGGCGAAAAGGGUAAAAAUAGAGAGUGAUGAAGACAAAGAUGAAGAGGAAGAGGAGGAGGAUGAAGAGGAGGAGGAAGAGAAGAGGAAGAAGCCGCCCCCCAAGAAUGAGGAGAAAAAGGAGAAAAAGAGGAGUGAGAGUGAGAAAAAACGGCCCAUGAAAAAUGGGCGGAAAAGGGUCAAAACGGAGAGUGAGGAAGAGGAGGAGGAAGAAGAGGAGGAAGAGGAGGAAAAGAGGAAGAAGUCACCCCCCCAAAAUGGGGUGAAAACGGGCAAAAAGAGGAGCGAGAGCGAGAAAAACCAGGCUGUGAGAAAUGGGCGGAAAAGGGUCGAAACGGAGAGUGAGGAAGAGGAGGAGGAGGAGGAAGAAGAGGAGGAGGAUGAGGACGAGGAGGAGGAUGAUGAGGAAGAGGAGGAGAAGAGGAAGAAGCCGCCCUCCAAAAAUGGGGUGAAAACGGGCAAAAAGAGGAACGAGAGCGAGAAAAACCAGGCUGUGAGAAAUGGGCGGAAAAGGGUCGAAACGGAGAGUGAGGAAGAGGAGGAGGAGGAGGAAGAAGAGGAGGAAGACAAGAGGAAGAAGCCGCCCCCCAAAAACGAGGAGAAAAAGGAGAAAAAGAGGAGUGAGAGUGAGAAAAAACGGCCCGUGAAAAAUGGGCGGAAAAAGGUCGAAACGGAGAGUGAGGAAGAGGAGGAGGAAGAAGAGGAAAAGAGGAAGAAGUCACCCCCCCAAAAUGGGGUGAAAACAGGCAAAAAGAGGAGCGAGAGUGAGAAAAAACAGGCUGUGAGAAAUGGGCGGAAAAGGGUCGAAACGGAGAGUGAGGAAGAGGAGGAGGAGGAGGAGGAAGAAGAGGAAAAGAGGAAGAAACGGUCCCCUAAAAAUGGGGUGGAAACGGGCAAAAAGAGGAGUGAGAGCGAGAAGAAACAACCUGUGAAAAAUGGGGCCAAAGGAGUGAAAAUGGACAGCGAGGAAGAGGAUGAAGAAGAUGAAGAGGAGGAGGAGGAAGAAGAAGAGAAGAAGAAACCAACUUCCGAAAAUGAGGAGAAAAAGGGCAAAAAGAGGAGCGAGAAAAAAAUGGGUCUGAAAAACGGGCGGAAAAGAGGGAAAAUAGAGAGCGAGGAAGAGGAGGAGGAAGAGGAGGAGGAGGAAGAAGAGGAAGAAAAGAGGAAGAAGCCGCCCCCCAAAAACGAGGAGAAAAAGGGCAAAAAGAGGAAAGAGACUGAGAAAAAAACGGGUGUGAAAAAUGGGCGGAAAAGGGGGAAAACGGAGAGUGAGGAAGAGGAGGAAGAGGAGGAGGAAGAGCCCCCCCCCAGCGACUCGGACGAGGACCUCCCCCUAAAUGAGGAGAAAAAGGGCAAAAAGAGGAGCGAGAAAAAAAUGGGUCUGAAAAACGGGCGGAAAAGAGGGAAAAUAGAGAGCGAGGAAGAG